GGGGAAAUGAAGUGAGAAACUGUAAGGGGAAAAAAAGAGCUAAUCUACGUGCUUUAUUUACACAUCUGAUGAAGGACUUUUCUCUGAUUCAUCCUGUUUCUUUGUGUACUUUAUUACUGCCACCAUUAUUAAUGAGAUCUACUAGUGGAAAGUAAAACAUUUGUAGACAUGCAGAACAGUAACGUUCCUGGAAAUGUAGGUGGGUUUUUUUUUUUCUUUUUUCUCUGGAUCACAGAACCGGAAACUGUUUUAAACCACUGUAU
This is a long non-coding RNA of Ictalurus punctatus (channel catfish), 263 nucleotides long. RefSeq lists it as uncharacterized. Lineage: Eukaryota; Metazoa; Chordata; Actinopteri; Siluriformes; Ictaluridae. The transcript is spliced from 2 exons. The record is from RefSeq and is a predicted model, not a curated record.